GAGUUUGAUCCUGGCUCAGGAACGAAACGCUGGUGGUGUGCCUAAUACAUGCAAGUCGAACGAUAAGUCUCGCCGUGUCUCGGGCGGCGACUCAAAAGNUUGGGCGAAACGGGUUGGNAGUGACACGCAUGUUAGGAGUAAUCAUACCCUAUCAGGCUGGGGAACUAGCCCAAGGUAGAAAUGCAUGUGGGCUAAAUACCCGCAUUACUGGCACCAACUACGCUAUACAUGCUAGGAUUAGCGGGGAGAGAUGAUCUGUAUUCUGCNCUUCUGCGCGUAGGGAGACUCCGGUACUGGGAUCUCAGAUUAAGUCUUGGGUGCGAUGANNUAUGCGCANNCAUAGACCAUGAUCCCAUUACGCUGGUCUGAUGCAUGGAUAGAUCUGACCCACACUGGGUAUCUGAAGAUCAGCGAGCCCAGGACUACCUAUCCGCGUGACGGGAAGNAGGUGGGGGAAAUCUAAGUCCGUCAAGUUGGGGCUGAGAGAGGGCUAGACCGUNAGAGCCCAUUGCCGGCGUCGAGUUGGAAGUAGANUGGCCCUCGGGCGUUAGGGGGUAGUCUUGCCGUCGGGUUGUAGGNCAUCAGUGACGGUAUCNCAUGGGUGUCCAGAGGGCCCCCGGGCACACGGUCCUGAUGUCCAAGUGGCCGCGGUUAGGGACGGAAGAGGACGUAGGCCGCUAAGCCGGGACUCGGUGUGCUUGAGGUCCGUGUAGGGCGUGAUGGUCAUCGGGGUGUGAAAGUCCCCGGGGCUCAAGGCUCCGGGACCUUGGGCUUUCGCUCUGUCCCUNUUGAAGGCCGGGAUGAGGGGUAGAAGGGGCAUUGCCCCAUUGCUUGGAGGUUGGAGUUCCACAAGACUGUGGGACGAAAGCACGGAAUAGGCAAAGGGGAAUCCCUGGUGCCCGGGUUCCNGAAACACUGGAAGGCUUGGAAAACCGUAGAGGGUGGGGAACAGGAAAGGUUCCGUGGGCCUAAAGGGCC
This 978-nucleotide ribosomal RNA is filed under the name uncultured bacterium. RNAcentral describes it as "partial 16S ribosomal RNA". The record is from RNAcentral.